GGAGGAACCACCUGGAGGAGCGUCUGAGGGCUGCCCGAGAGUCCCAGAGCGCAGAAAGGGCCCCUCAGGACAGGUCGAAGAAUGGGUGAAACGGGUGGUAGAGCUUACAGAUGGUAAAAAUGGCAGUUUACUGCAUGCCUGCGAACAUCACAUCACCAGCCCGUGUCUGCCCAGGAAGGCUCCUCUCUUUGCAGCUCCUGCCCGAGCUGUGCUCACUGGUGGUCACGGUGAUCUGCCUGUCCAGGGGAGGCUCCCAAUGGGAGCACACCAAGCCUUAUGUCCUCAACUACUUUGAAAACCCAGCAGCACUGUCUCCUGUGGUUGUGGAAACUGCCUUCAGAAUGUCACAUCCCGACUCUCAACACCUGGGUCCUGAUAACUUUCGGCUCUGCCAGCGGCCCUGCUACCUGGACUGCAGAGAAACAUGAGCCCCCAGCCCAGGUUCCUGGCACACUGCAGGUGCUCCAAGAGCUUUGUGAAGGAGGAAGACGGACAAGGGACAAGCUGCAGACGAGUGAUCUCCCGAAGAUGGCUGCACCAUCUCCUGGGUGCCAGGACAGGAGAAGGCACACAUGUCAUCAUCUGGCUCCAGGAGGAAGGCCGCGGUCUGUCAGGACAGGGGUGCUGGGCCGGACAGGGGUGCUCGGCCAGAGUGGCCAUGCAGCCCGCUCCCUUCCAGCCACUUCCAGACCCACCAUCCGAUACAGGCGCCGAGGGAGCACACAGUUGUGGAAACAGAGUCUGCAAGGGCCCCCGCAGAGCACCUUCGUGUGUUCCCGUCACCCCUCAGAACAACUUCCGAGGGGGCUCUGUGAUGAUGGACAAGCCAGGACAGGGAAGCAGAGGUGCAGAGCAAGUCUACGCAGGCGGACGAGGGGCGGAGCGGGGAUUUGCCCGCAGGCAGUCUGACUUGGCCAUUUGCGGAUCUGGAUCUCUGCUCUGCCAAAUACACGCUGUCUACACUGGGUAAUUACUUGACCUCUCUAGGGCACACGGCUCUGUGAUAUCAAUGAUUGCAUGUUUACGGCACUUAGCACCUCAGAUGGCACAGAAACGCCGGGCACUGGCCAUCACUCUUCUGCCAGUUGGAAAUGAACUUCAGACGGUAGCUUCCGCUCGCGGACAGUGGCCACCUGCUCUCGUUCUCUGCUUCUUCCUCUGCCAUUCUCUGCUUCUUCCUCUGCCGCGGA
RNAcentral lists this long non-coding RNA (1190 nucleotides) under Ursus americanus (American black bear). RNAcentral describes it as "lncRNA (ENSUAMG00000019745.1)". Lineage: Eukaryota; Metazoa; Chordata; Mammalia; Carnivora; Ursidae. The record is from RNAcentral.